AUUGAACGCUGGCGGCAGGCCUAACACAUGCAAGUCGAGCGGAUGAAGCGAGCUUGCUCCUGGAUUCAGCGGCGGACGGGUGAGUAAUGCCUAGGAAUCUGCCUGGUAGUGGGGGAUAACGUCCGGAAACGGGCGCUAAUACCGCAUACGUCCUGAGGGAGAAAGUGGGGGAUCUUCGGACCUCACGCUAUCAGAUUAGCCUAGGUCGGAUUAGCUAGUUGGUGGGGUAAAGGCCUACCAAGGCGACGAUCCGUAACUGGUCUGAGAGGAUGAUCAGUCAGACGGGAACUGAGACACGGUCCAGACUCCGACGGGAGGCAGCAGUGGGGAAUAUUGGACGAUGGGGGAAAGCCGGAUCCAGCCAUGCCGCGUGUGUGAAGAAGGUCUUCGGAUUGUAGAGCACUUUAAGUUGGGAGGAAGGGCAGUAAGUUAAUACCGUGCUGUUUUGACGUUACCAACAGAAUAAGCACCGGCUAACUUCGUG
RNAcentral lists this ribosomal RNA (484 nucleotides) under uncultured bacterium. RNAcentral's name for it is "partial 16S ribosomal RNA". It matches the Rfam family "Bacterial small subunit ribosomal RNA", at positions 30 to 507 of the family's 1533-position model. The record is from RNAcentral.